AUAAAUCUUAUGAAGUAUCGAACGGAUACACUGUACACACAGAGUCAUGCAUCCAACUUCAACUUUUCCAGUUCUGAUAGAUGCCCACUCUGUGCAAAUACGGACAGCAUUUAUCACGUUCUGCUUAGGUGUACCAACCCAACAAUGAGUGGGAUGCACACCAACAGACACCAUGCGGCCCUUAGUCUCUGUGUAGAAGCCCUGAGUAAAGGCCG
RNAcentral lists this long non-coding RNA (215 nucleotides) under Dunaliella salina. RNAcentral's name for it is "long non-coding RNA (DSAL_LNC000145)". The record is from RNAcentral. Lineage: Eukaryota; Viridiplantae; Chlorophyta; Chlorophyceae; Chlamydomonadales; Dunaliellaceae.